AUGGCUCAGUGGUUAAGAGCGCUUGACUGCUCUUCCAGAGGUCCUGAGUUCAAUUCUCAGU
RNAcentral lists this transfer RNA (61 nucleotides) under Rattus norvegicus (Norway rat). It matches the Rfam family "tRNA", at positions 7 to 64 of the family's 71-position model. From Rfam's summary of the family: Transfer RNA (tRNA) molecules are approximately 80 nucleotides in length. Their secondary structure includes four short double-helical elements and three loops (D, anti-codon, and T loops). Further hydrogen bonds mediate the characteristic L-shaped molecular structure. tRNAs have two regions of fundamental functional importance: the anti-codon, which is responsible for specific mRNA codon recognition, and the 3' end, to which the tRNAs corresponding amino acid is attached (by aminoacyl-tRNA synthetases). tRNAs cope with the degeneracy of the genetic code in two manners: having more than one tRNA (with a specific anti-codon) for a particular amino acid; and 'wobble' base-pairing, i.e. permitting non-standard base-pairing at the 3rd anti-codon position. Lineage: Eukaryota; Metazoa; Chordata; Mammalia; Rodentia; Muridae. The record is from Rfam by way of RNAcentral.